RNAcentral lists this non-coding RNA (22 nucleotides) under Arabidopsis thaliana (thale cress). The record is from RNAcentral. Lineage: Eukaryota; Viridiplantae; Streptophyta; Magnoliopsida; Brassicales; Brassicaceae.
UUGGGGUAACUAUUGUGCAACU